UACAGAGGGUGCAAACGUUGUUCGGAAUUACUGGGCGUAAAGCGUGUGUAGGCGGUUUAUUAAGUCGGGCGUGAAAGCUUCGGGCUCAACCCGAAAAGUGCACUCGAUACUGGUAAGCUAGAAUCUCGGAGAGGUUGGUAGAAUUCUUGGUGUAGAGGUGAAAUUCGUAGAUAUCAAGAGGAAUACCGGCGGCGAAGGCGGCCAACUGGACGAAGAUUGACGCUGAGACACGAAAGCAUGGGGAGCAAACAGG
Molecule: ribosomal RNA, 253 nt
Filed under: uncultured bacterium
Lineage: Bacteria
Description: partial 16S ribosomal RNA
Rfam family: Bacterial small subunit ribosomal RNA
Source: RNAcentral